This 497-nucleotide ribosomal RNA is filed under the name uncultured bacterium. Its description in RNAcentral is "partial 16S ribosomal RNA". It matches the Rfam family "Bacterial small subunit ribosomal RNA", at positions 28 to 507 of the family's 1533-position model. The record is from RNAcentral.
GAUGAACGCUGGCGGCGUGCCUAAUACAUGCAAGUCGAGCGAACAGAUGAGGAGCUUGCUCCUCUGACGUUAGCGGCGGACGGGUGAGUAACACGUGGAUAACCUACCUAUAAGACUGGGAUAACUUCGGGAAACCGGAGCUGAUACCGGAUAAUAUAUUGAACCGCAUGGUUCCAUAGUGAAAGACGGUUUUGCUGUCACUUAUAGAUGGAUCCGCGCCGCAUUAGCUAGUUGGUAAGGUAACGGCUUACCAAGGCAACGAUGCGUAGCCGACCUGAGAGGGUGAUCGGCCACACUGGAACUGAGACACGGUCCAGACUCCUACGGGAGGCAGCAGUAGGGAAUCUUCCGCAAAGGGCGAAAGCCUGACGGAGCAACGCCGCGUGAGUGAUGAAGGUCUUCGGAUCGUAAAACUCUGUUAUUAGGGAAGAACAAAUGUGUAAGUAACUAUGCACGUCUUGACGGUACCUAAUCAGAAAGCCACGGCUAACUACGUG